AGUUUAUCCCAUUCGUGUCCUCUCCAAACUACAAACUCAAAAUCCCUAAUUUCUCAAAAUCCCCAAAUGUCUCACGCCCACUGUCGUAAGGAUUUGCAACCCCCUCCGUCUUUUUCUUCGUCCGGCGAGUAUUCGACGUCAGGCGAGUCUUCGACUUUCGACCACGGUUCGACUUCUGCCCAAAUUAGAGUUUUGCCCAGGAGAUAACAGCUCGAGUCUUUAUGCCUCUAUUUGAGUACCCAUCUCAGCGUUGUAGAACAAACCAAACGAAAGGCAACUUAAUUCUUUAACUUAGAGCAUCCAAAUUUCUGAAGUUUCAGGCUAAACUUCAAGAGUUAGCUGAGCAUUUGGUUUACAGGCCAAACUUCAAGAGUUUGGAAUUUAAAUUUUUGUAGGAUCUUAAUUUUUGUCUCUUAUCAACAAAAUGUAAAAUUUUAAUUUGACAUCUACUCAUUAACUUGUGCAGAGACUGCAUUAUGUAAGUUUAGGAUGAUUUUCAUCAGCUCUUCACUCAUGGAGCUAAAAAUUGAAAUUCCAAACUAAUUGGUCAUUGCAGAUUAGAGGAGACUUGCAUAUUUGUUUGAUGGGUGAUUCUGGAGUUGUCAAGAGUCUUUUUAAGCACAUCAUCAAUGUUGCUCCCAGGGGAAUCUAAUCUACACAACUAGUAAAGGGAGUUGUUGGAAAGAUAUUGAUUGUUGUCUAGCCGACAAGGUGUGGAAUUUUGGCGUCUUUAGCACAUUUUGGGAUCAAAACAAGAAACAUCACCCGUUAGAUUUCAAUACACUGAAAGGUCAUGAAGAUUCUGCCACUGGAUUAUGCUUCUCCUCAGAUGGAAGUAAUCUGACGACUGCUUGAGGGACAGCUGAGAAGAAUAACAUAAGAAACUUCGGUAACCCAGUUCAGCCAACGUUGCCUACAUCUGGGGAGCUGCGCAGCCCAGCUAAGUAAUUUUUAUUAAUAUUCAAUUAAGUCAAGAUACAUCAAUACAUCAGAUAAACUUUGUUCAAUUAUAUGCUUUAGUAGCAUGGGUCCCGGCUUCAAAAUUCAGGCUCCCCCUGAACGCAUGAAUCACUUUUCUUCAUGAUGUGUGACUUCAGGCUCCCCCUGAAUGCAUGAGUGAAUAUCUUCGACGGUAUCCUUACAUUUUACUAAAUAUCGCAGUAACCAUACAUACCACUGUCUCGUCUUUUACAUUGCUAAUUUACAAACUCAACUUAGAUCAACAUGUUGAUCUUAUAGUCAUAAGAUCACAAUACCUGAGGAUACUUAUGCUGAGGAUACUCAGAAUCGACAAAACCCUUGGAUUGAGCAACAUAGACUUCUUCAUUUAGAAUAUGAAACUUCACCCCGAUAUGAGUCCAACGCCACUGAAAUCACUUAAAUCGGAGUUAUAACAAAGAAGAACGAUCAAUAACAAGUUCAAGGGCAAAAUCAAGAAAUUGGAAAAGAUCGGACGAACCAGAUCGCACCACGUGACAUCACCAGAUCACACCACGUGUCCACCUCAAAGUCGUGUUUUCGAACCCCAGGCGUGCCCCUAUUUUUUCUUUCAUUUUUCGUACGAUCCGACAACCCGAUCCACGAACCGGUUCGCGACCCGCGCUUAGUCCGCCAUAUGUCGAGCCCUCGUCCGCGUGCGCCUCUCCCCUGUCGUGAGUUUGAAUCUCAGCAGCUGCGUUUCCUUUUUUUAUUUUUCUCUUCAAUUGGGCCAACCCAAGACCCGACCCAAGCCCAUUCGUGACCCAAUUCAUCAUCUUCCCCAAAAUUAACUGCAAAAUGGCAGUUUUUAACCUAGUUUCAUUUUUUUUCUCCCAUUUUCUCUUCUAUAAAAUCCCUCAUAUUUUUUUGAAGGAAAAAAGGGAAAAUUUGAAUGUAAAAAAAAUUCUCUUUCUCAUUCAAUUCUUGUAGUAAAAUUCUUGAAACUUUAUCAAUAAAAGAUUACUUUUGUCAAAGAAA
This is a long non-coding RNA of Cucumis melo (muskmelon), 1956 nucleotides long. RefSeq lists it as uncharacterized. The record is from RefSeq and is a predicted model, not a curated record. NCBI's taxonomy places the organism in Eukaryota, Viridiplantae, Streptophyta, Magnoliopsida, Cucurbitales, Cucurbitaceae. The transcript has 6 exons.